UUGGCGAGCCAAAGCGAUUCUAAGCGGAGGCUCGUUCGUUGGCCGAUCUCGAGAUCGAAGCUGGGUGGUCGAAUCCUAAUCGACUGACGAACGAUUGCUCACACGAGUUUCGUUGGUGAACACACGAAGACGUAGGUGUGUAAAUGGAUAGAUUAUACAUCGUCGAUGUAUCCCGUGCAUGGCUCUCAGACGACUCGUGAACCGCCUCUUUUAUCCGGGGCGCAAUUGAGUCAACGGCCUUUCGAAAGAAGUAACGGUAUACGAUUAUUACUCCUACCGAGUCUAUACUCACGAAACUGAAACAUUCGCGCGCGAGCGCCAGCCAACUCAGCCAAGCUCGAACGUUCGCGCACGCGUUUCGCAGCCUGGUUUAUGGCUAUAGACUGUGGCUAACGUUUUACGGCCACGGUGACGGAUAUCGCCGCCUUUUAAACGACUCGCUAAGGCAAACCGGGACGAACGCGUUCCGGAUCAUCCGGCUUCGUAUCAUCGGUGGAACUCCAUUUUUUCUGAACUCGUCGGAGCACCAACGGCUUAUACAAUUGGCGUUCACGUAAUAGCUUUUGCUCUUUUUCUUCUGCCAUUUCAUUGUGGAGAAAGGAAAGAGAAUGGAGAUCUUAUCCAUCGGGUUGAUAACGCGAUUUGUUGGCACAUUGUCCUUAUGUUCAGCCUACAUCGCUAGGUACGACAUGGCUGAAAAUGGAACGAAUCUGUUAGGUUCGAAGAUGACAUUUUUUAAAAAUAUCUGGCGAGCUCGUUGGAAAGUAAGGUAUAACCAUUUGUAAAAUUACAUACAUUUAACGCGACACUAAAAUACAGCAAACAAAAUUUAUUAAAUAAAAACAUUCGAGUCAA
Molecule: long non-coding RNA, 855 nt
Organism: Bombus pascuorum
Lineage: Eukaryota; Metazoa; Arthropoda; Insecta; Hymenoptera; Apidae
Exons: 3
Source: RefSeq, a predicted model, not a curated record